AUCAUAUUAAAAAGAUAUUUACUGCAACUACCUUUGUAGUAUUAACUAUGAAGCACAUAGUAACCAAAUAUGUCACAAAUAAUAAAAUACGAAUCGUAGAUCUCUCCAUCUGAAUAAAGUCAACUCUACAAAUUCUAAAGAACGUCUAAAAGCACUAAUUUCCCGCUAUGCGCAGAUUGAGGAAAGGGUCGUAUGUCUAUUAUACACAACUAUAUUGUGCAUAUCUAAAGAAUGUCUCAAAUUGCAAAAUCAACUAUAAGUGACUAGUUGCACCAGUUGAUAAGGAUGCUCCAGAAACCAUGUCAGCUUGAUAAAAAUACUUCCUCUUUUCGAAUAGGAAUUGAUUCGAUCUUAUUAUUAGAAUAUUCAAAUUCAACUGAAUAUACUGUUUUCAAGAAGGAAUCACCAUCACCAGUGGAAGUUGAACCAGGCGAUCUCUUCCUCCUGAAGUACAGAAAAAUGAAGAAAAAGCAGUCAAUCACAGGGAAGGAAAUAGAGAAGGUAAGGAACCAAUUUCCUUGUUCAAGCCGGUAUUUAAUAAGUAGUAAGUAAGUGAGAAGUCGAUUCUUUUAUGUUGAGAAAAGAAAUCACUUGCUAAGAUGCUUUCAAUCUUACUUGUGCUCAUAUAUCAAAACCUAAUCCCUGUUCAAACUACCUCAUCUGUGAGUCCAAAGCCAAACAUGUAGUCUUCUUUUUGUGAUCGACCUGAACAAACGAUAAAAGAACACAUUUAGGACAAUAAUGAAAGUUAUACAGCCAAACUGUGAGAGAUUGAUUGUCUUCCAAGUAGUAAAAGCAAGAAGGAAAAGAAUAGAUAGAGGGGUGUGCCCCUUAUCUACCAAGUUUUUAUCCAUGCGCCUCUCAUAAAAAAGGUGGGACGAAAUCAAGAAGCUUUUCAUAUUUCGGCGUCAUUGAGGGAAGGAGAAAUGUCCUCAACCCAAAAUGAAAGUCAUUGGGAACAUGUAUUCUGUGAAGGAGCUACGACAAGAUAGAGAAGUCUAGAUGCAACCUACCUCGGCUGAUAAAAUGAAAUUAAGACCCACGUUCAAGCACUCUUCCAAGAAACCAGCAACACAUCCAUCUUCCUUCUGAGACAACACUGUAAUGAAUGCAAAAUAUUGAAACAAUAUGUUAAAUUCAUGAUAACCAUGGUUGAUUAGAAGUCCUAACGCUGUUGCAAUGAAGCCACAAAAGCAAGAUCAAUUAAUUGAGUUCUCAUAACUAUUGCAAAACGCAUAAUAGCAGCCCACAAAAACUUUCUAUAUGACUAUUGGGCACCAAAGGGUAUAGCCUAGUAGUCAAUGAAGUGGAUUAAGAACCAUGUGGUCUCGAAUCAAAUCCCAGUGAAGGCAAAAAAGCUAGUUGAUUUCUUUCCAUUUAUAUAGGCCUUGGUGGACAAAAUUACAGGUACCAGUGUUGGUGGGUGAUAGUAGGUACACCGUGGAAUUAGUAUAGGUGUGUGUUAGUUGGCCCGAACACCAUUGAAAUCCAAUACAAUAAAACAAAAGUUUUUAAUGUCAACAUUGAAAGUCAAGAGAAUUACUUUAGUUAUAUGCUAGUGCGAACUAGAUUCAUUUUAUAUCUUUAGGUUAAUAGCACAAAUUUCCCUAGUUCGGUCAUAAUUAGGGGUUGGCAUGGUAUGGUAGAUACCAAAACUGAAAUUUUUGACACCACAGUUCCGAUAAUAUGAUAUUUGGCAUGCGUAUUUAAAAAAUUUGGUAUUCGACAUUUAUAACAAGAAUACUCUGUGCAACUUUCUGAACAUAACUUGGUGCAACCAUUCCUGUACUAGCAACUUGCCCUGCAUCAACCUGCAUAUAAAUUAAUAGAUAUUUUUUCUGGGAGGGUUUACUCAGAAACAUGAAUGUUUUGAUGUUCCUGUAUAUUAAUAGCACUGAAAAUGAUAUUACUAGACUUAUACUCGCUCUAGACCAUAUUAAGUGAAUUGUUUAAGUAUGGCGCAACCCUUAAGAAAAAUAUUUAAGGACAUAAAAUUAAAGACCAUUUUCUACUAUUACCUUUUUGAUUAUUUUCAAACUAGUCUCCUAGAAAAUGUAAAGAAGUUAAGAAUCUCAUUAAAUGAAGAGUAAAUAUGGAAAAGAGUUCCAACAAUUUUCAUGAACUUUGAAUAAUUCACUUAAUAUGGACUAUACGGAGUAAUGUGACACAUAAGGGAACUUACCACUAUUCCUUUUUUAAGAAUAUCAGUAUGGUCACCAUUUUUUCUCAUAUUAAGAGUGCAAUGACAUUUGAUUUCUAAGAAAAAGAAGAAUGGCAAGAAAAACUCAAACCAAAAUUGAUGUACCUCCUCAUUAGGUUGUGUUGAAAGCUCAAACAAUGUUCUAAUUGCCAUCAACUUUAGCAAAUGCAUAGGCUGUCAUUUCUUUUGCAGGGAUAAAAGGAAAUUGUAUCACAGCGAUAGCGUAGCCGAAUAAACCAAACAAAAUAUCACUUCUUAUUUUUUGAGUGAAGCUCUGGUAUCAUGUCAAGGACAGAAGGAUUCUCCCUUACAACAUCUAUCAAAAAACCAGUUGUAGUUGCAUCAAAUGAGAAGCCCCUUCCAUCCAUUUCCUUCAUAAAAGAUGCCAUUUCACUAAUUUUGUUGCACCUGAGAAAUCCUUGCACAAUAACAUUAUAAGUGACAUUGUUUGGAGAACAACCGUUGUCUUCCAUUUUUCUUAGAAUAUAUUUAGCUUCAUCAAACAACCCUUCAAAACAAAAUCCAUUAAUCAUUAUAGUGUAUGUUCUCACAUCUGGGAGUAAUCCAAUGAAAGAAAGCUUCUUGAAAACAGCAUGUGCUUUGUUGAGUUUACCAUUUUUGCACAAUCCGUUAAUGACAACCCUAUAAAAUGCAAUAUUAGUAUAUUCUUUGUUUCUUUCUAACUUAUUAACGAGUGCCAUAGCUUCUUCAACAAGUCCGUACUUAUAAUAACCAUUGAGCAAAGUGACAUGAAUGUAUAUAUCAGGCUUGGUCCCUGCAGUUAGCAUCUCAGCGUAAAUUUGCUUUGCAUCACCAGUUCUUCCAACUUCAAAAAGACCUUGCAAGAUCGUAUUGUAGGUAAAAUUAUCGGGUUUUGAUCCCUUUUGGGAAAUUUCACAAAACAAUUGCAUGGCCUCAUCCACUUUCUUUUUCUUACAGUAUCCCUUUAUUAGUACGUUAUAGCUAAUAAUGUCGGUCUCAAUGCCCUUAUCUAUCAUGAUACUAAAAAUUCUCCUUGCUCUAUCUAGUUGACCACGCAAACAAUAUCCAUCCAUCAAUGCAUUGUAGGUGAUUGUAUUAGGCUCUACACCCUUUUCGACCAUGUGUUUCAUUACUUCCUCAGCAUCUUUGACUUUCCCUUCUUUGCAUAGUCCAUCUGUUAUUAUGUUUAAGGUAUGCACAUCUGGAUAAAUAUUAAGGUUCACCAUCUCAUAGAACAAACUCGUAACCUUUUCCCACUGACCAAACUUACACAAACCAUCAAUUAUUGAAUUAUAUGUGACUAUGUCUGGAGGAAUGUCUUUCUGCUUCAUCUCGUUCAGAAUAUUGAUAGCAGCAUCUAAGUUUCCAUCUUUGCAAAGAGCAUCUAUAACAAUGCUGUAGAUAUAUAUGGUGGGCUCAGUAUUACCUUGUUCCAUUAACCGGAGCAAACUUAAAGUCUUCUGAGUAUGACCCCUUUUGCUUAGCCCAUUCAUGACGAUUGCAUACAUGACUUCGUCAGGCUCACAAAUCUUGUCUCUCACCAACUUCUUGAACAAUUCAACUGCAUCUUUGACCUUAUUUUGAGCAAAGAUUCCUUUUAAUAGGGUGUUAAAGGUAACAGUAUUAAAUGGAAUGCCAUUCUUCAAGUAAAUGGGUAACACCGAAAAUGCACAAUCAACCCGAUACAUCAGGCAAUAACUAUUAAUCAUGAUAUUUAAGAUGAAAUCACUAAUUGGGAUGCCCAAUUUCAGCAUUUGUCGAAAAAGAGAAAGGGCACCAGAGUAAUGUUUCAUCUUUAUCAUAGUCUUAAACAAUUGAGAGAAAUGGACAACUGAAGGAAGAGGCUUCAUUGUAACCAUUUGAUGGAAGAGAGUAACAGCAUCAUCUAAAUUGCUACUAUUUACACCAAAUUUAUCCAUUACUGAAAUGGAUUUUUUACUGUAACGGCAUGAAGAAUAAGCUCUAAUUGUAAAUGCCGAACCAGAAAUGGAAGAGAUAAAGGGAAUACCAUUGCAAUUGCGCAGAGAAAUCCUCCUCAUCUUCUUCAAUGGCUGUAUCUCCGUGUGCCCUAAUUUUGCAAGAAACUAAUACAUUCAGCUUCUUUGGAUUUUUUUUUUGUUUGCCAUUCGCUCAUUCCCAUCCCUAAUAUUAGAGCACGACUAAAUUUAAAUUUACCUCGAAAAAUCUUAGCAACCAUCCAAAAAAAGGCAAGUGUCGUUACGCUGUUAAUUUAUUUUUUUUCAUUUUAUUUUUGAAUUAUUAUUUAAUAAUCUUAUUGUAUACUGUUAUUUUUUUUUAAAAAAAAUAUUGUGUACCCUAUGUUUAUUUAUAGUGUUAUAAAUUUAUUCUUUAUAUUAUUGAUGUGUGAUAUUAUGUAACAACAUAAUCGAUACAUUUCAUUCAAAUAUUAUAUUAACUAAAACAAUACAAUAUAUUAUGUAACAAUAUAUAAUAAUCAUCAAAACAAUCUGCAAUUAAUACACUAUGAAAGGUUGUUUGCUUGCUCGUUAAGAAGUAAGUUAUUUAUGUAUUAAAAUUAAUAUUAUAACUAAUAACAUGCUUAAGAUUAGUAUUUUAGUUGCUAUGCAUAAAAUUAAAUACGUUAAUUGAUUACCAUUUUACAAUCUCACAAAUUAUUAUAAAUGUAUAAACUAGGUGAGAUCUAUUUAGUCCCCCCUUGUCCCCCUAUUUACUUGUCAAUUUUUGACUUGACACACCUAUUAAGAAAAUAAUAAUUGACAUAAUGAGUUUACUAUUUUAUUCUUAUUAAUUGAUAGAAUUUCAAAAUCAAGUUACUCAUUAAAGGGGUUCUACCUUUUUCAAAAACAUUAACUCUCUAAAUAAAUUGAGCGUAUAAUAAAUUAAAAAAAAUAUUAUCUUUUCUUAAUUUGUCAAAAAUGACAAGUAGAAAGGGACAAAUAAAGAAUCAAAAUUGAACAAGUAAGAACGUUACAUAGGAGAAAAAUAAAAUGAAGUAUACUACAUGAAUAAUUAAGUCUUCAUCUAGGUGAAUAACUCUAACUAGCGAAAAAACAACCCCUUAAAGGGUAAUUUGUUAUGUAUAAAAUAACUCUUACUUAAAAUAUACAUUUUAAUUAUUUGGAUUUGAACAUGAGAUCUUAUGAUUCUCAAUCCACUUUAUCGAUCAAUUAUACCACCCCCUUGAUAAGUCAUAUUUUUGGAAAACACAACUUUUUUUUUGACCUAACAGAGAAGGCAUGAUUAUAGAUGUUGAAGGAUAUUCAGAAAAUGUGUCUUAUUUCAUGAAACAUGCAUUUAUCUCAGUUAGUUAGAACUCAACUUAAAAUUAAAUUCAAAUGAUUCUAAAGACUAACUUCAUAAACUAAACUUAGAAGGAAAUAUAUGUGUUACUCAAAUCUUAAAGUGUUUACAAGAUUGAAUAUUUCAUAGACAACUAAAAACAUACUCCCUCCGUCCCUAUUUACUUGUCCAUAUUUCCUUUUUUGGUUGUCCCUAUUUAGUUGUCCAUUUUGACAAAUCAAGAAAGGACAACAAAUUUUUUCCUAUUAUACCCUUAUUUACACUUCUUGAAAAUUGUAAAAGUGUAUGUUGUUUCCCUCCAAUUUAUUUCACUUGAAUUCAAAUAAGUGGUUGUAAUUUUGAAGUGAAAAGUUGUCAUAGGGUAAAAUUGUAACUUCACUGUGCUAAUCAUUGUUGCCUUAAUCUGUGUGCCAUUUCUAAAAUGGACAACUAAAAAGGGAUGGAGAGAGUAUCUGAUAGUCAAAGAUGCGUAGUACAUGUGUUGUUGGUGGGAGGUAGCAUGUACUUGCUGAAUAGUUGAAGGUACACACAAGUGGGUCAGAACAGUACCGUCAUUAAAAAAAAAUUAAUGACAACUAUGAUAAAGCUAACACAUGGAGAUAUGAUCAUGUAACAAUUUCAACAUUACAUUUGCGUCCACGCAACCAAAGUUCUCAUAACAGAAGCAACAUUAUUACACCCCAGACUAAUAAGUGCAUUAGAAAGAUUAGUUACCAUACCUAAAGAAUUGGUAAGUGUGCAUUUAAGUACAACAACAAAACAAAUAAGUCUCAAUCCCAAAUCCCUGGAUUUUCACUAAUCACAUCAUACAAUAAAAGCACAUGGAUAAUGUAAAACCCAAAAUCUUGGGUUGUAAAACAUAAACUUUAUAUUUAUUGAUAACCGUGGUGUCUAGGCCAACUACAAGUGACUAGUUGCACCAGUUGAUAAGGAUGCUCCAGAAACAAUGUCAGCUUGAUAAAUAUACUUCCUCUUUUCGAAUAGGAAUUGAUUUGAUCUUAUUAUUAGAAUAUUCAGAUUCAAUAGAAAAUACUGUUUUCAAGAAGGAAUCACCAUCACCAGUGGAAGUUGAACCUGGCGAUCUCUAUCUCCUCAAGUAUGGAAAAAGGAAGAAAAAGCAGCCAAACACAGGGAAGGAAAUAGAGAAGGUAAGGGACCACUUUCCUUGUUCAAGCUGGUAUUUAAUGAGUAAGUAGUAAGUAAGUGAGAAGUCGAUUCUUUUAUCGUUGAGAAAACAGAUCACUUGCUAAGAUGCUUUCAAUUUUACUUGUGCUUAUAUAUCAAAACCUAAUCCCUGUUCAAACUACCUCAUCUGUUCUCUAACUGUGAGUCCAAAGCCAAACUUGUAGUCUUCUUUUUUGAUUGACCUGAACAAGCGAUAAAGAACACAUUUAGGACAAUAAUGAAAGUUAUACAGCCAAACUGUGAGAGAUUGAUUGUAUUCGAAUUAGUAAAAGCAAGAAGGAAAAUAAUAGAUAGAGGGGUGUGCCCCUUAUCUACCAAGUUUUUAUCCAUGCGCCUCUCAGAAAAAAGGUGGGAGGAAAUCAAGAAGCUUUUCAUAUUUCGGCAUCAUUGAGGGACGGAGUAACAUCCUCAACCCAAAAUUAAAGUCAUUGGGAACAUGUAUUCUGUGAAGGAGCCACGACAAGAUAGAGAAGUCAAGAUGCAACCUACCUUGGCUGAUAAAAUGAAAUUAAGACCCACGUUCAAGCGCUCUUCCAAGAAACCAGCAACACAUCCAUCUUCCUUCUGAGACAACAUUGUAAUGAAUGCAUCAUAUUGAAACACUAUGUUAAAUUCAUGAUAACCAUGGUUGAUUAGAAGUCCUAAUGUUGUUGCAAUGAAGCCACAAAAGCAAGAUCAACUAAACGAGUUCUCAAAACUAUUGCAUAACGCAUAAUAGCAGCCCACAAAAAGUGUCUAUAUGACUAUUGUGCACCAAAGGGUGUGGCCUAGGAGUCAAUGAAGUGGAUUAAGAACCAUGUGGUCUCGAAUCAAAUCCCAGUGAAGGCAAAAAAGAUAGUUGAUCUCUUUCCAUCUAUAUAACCCUUGGUGGACAAAAUUACAGGUACCAUUGUUGGUGGGAGAUAGUAGGUACACCGUGAAAUUAGUAUAGGUGUGUGUUAGUUGGCCCGAACACCAUUGAAAUCCAAUACAAUAAAACAAAAGUUUUUAAUGUCUACAAUGAAAGUCAAGAGAAUUACUUUAGUUAUAUGCUAGUGCGAACUAGAUUCAUUUAAUAUAUUCAGGUUAAUAGCACAAAUUUCCAUAGUUCGAUCAUAAUUAGGGGUUGGCAUGGUAUGGUAGAUACCAAAACUGAAAUUUUUGACACCACACUUCCAAUAUUAUGAUAUUUGGCAUGCCUAUUUAAAAUUUUUGGUAUUCGACAUUUAUAACAAGAAUACUCAGUGCAACUUUUCCACUAUUACCCUUUUGAUUAUUUUCAAACUAGUCUCCUAGAAAAUGUUAAAAAGUUAAGAAUCUCAUUAAAUGAAGAGUAACUAUGGAAAAGAGUUCCAACAAUUUUCGUGAACUUUGAAUAAUUCGCUUACUUUGAACUACGAAAAAAGUCUCAAUAAUUCACUUAAUUUGGACUACACGGAGUAAUGUGACACAUAAGGGAACUUACCACUAUUCCUUUUUUAAGAAUAUCAGUAUGGUCACCAUUUUUUCUCAUAUUAAGAGUGCAAUGACAUUUGAUUUCUAAGAAAAAGAAGAAUGGUAAGAAAAACUCAAACCAAAUUGAUGUACCUCCUCAUUAGGUUGUGUUGAAAGCUCAAACAAUGUUCUAAUUGCCAUCAACUUUAGCAAAUGCAUAGGCUGUCAUUUCUUUUGCAGGGAUAAAAGGAAAUUGUAUGACAGCGAUAGCGUAGCCGAAUAAACCAAACAAAAUAUCACUUCUUAUUUUUUGAGUGAAGCUCUGGUAUCAUGUCAAGGACAGAAGGAUUCUCCCUUACAACAUCUAUCAAAAAACCAGUUGUAGUUGCAUCAAAUGAGAAGCCCCUUCCAUCCAUUUCCUUCAUAAAAGAUGCCAUUUCACUAAUUUUGUUGCACCUGAGAAAUCCUUUCACAAUAACAUUAUAAGUGACAUUGUUUGGAGAACAACCGUUGUCUUCCAUUUUUCUUAGAAUAUAUUUAGCUUCAUCAAACAACCCUUCAAGACAAAAUCCAUUAAUCAUUAUAGUGUAUGUUAUCACAUCCGGGAGUAAUCCAAUGAAAGAAAGCUUCUUGAAAACAGCAUGCGCUUCGUGGAGUUUACCAUUUUUGCACAAUCCGUUAAUGACAACACUAUAAAAUGCAAUAUUAGUAUACUCUUUGUUUCUUUCUAACUUAUUAAAGAGUGCCAUAGCUUCUUCAACAAGUCCGUACUUAUAAUAACCAUUGAGCAAAGUGACAUGACUGUAUAUAUCAGGCUUGGUCCCUGCAGAUAGCAUCUCAGCGUAAAUUUGCUUUGCAUCACCAGUUCUUCCAACUUCAGAAAGACCUUGCAAGAUCGUAUUGUAGGUCAAAUUAUUGGGUUUUGAUCCCUUUUGAGAAAUUUCACAAAACAAUUGCAUGGCCUCAUCCACUUUCUUUUUCUUACAGUAUCCCUUUAUUAGUAUGUUAUAGCUAAUAAUGUCGGUCUCAAUGCCCUUAUCUAUCAUGAUACUAAAAAUUCUCCUUGCUCUAUCUAGUUGACCACGCAAACAAUAUCCAUCCAUCAAUGCAUUGUAGGUGAUUGUAUUAGGCUCUACACCCCUUUUUCGACCCAUGUGUUUCAUUACUUCCUCAGCAUCUUUGACUUUCCCUGCUUUGCAUAGUCCAUCUGUUAUUAUGUUGAAGGUAUGCACAUCUGGAUACAUAUUAAGGUUCACCAUCUCUGAGAACAAAGUUUAACCUUUUCCCACUGACCGAGCUUACACAAACCAUCAAUUAUUGAAUUAUAUGUGACUAUGUUUGGAAGAACGUCUUUCUGCUUCAUCUCGUUCAGAAUGUUGAUAGCAGCAUCUAAGUUUCCAUCUUUGCAAAGAGCGUCUAUAACAAUGUUGUAGAUAUAUAUGUUGGGCUCAGUAUUACCUUGUUCCAUUAACCGGAGCAAACUUAAAGUCUUCUGAGUAUGACCCCUUUUGCUGAGCCCAUUCAUUACUGUUGCAUACAUGAUUUCAUCGGGAUCACAAAUCUUCUCUCUCACCAAUUUUUUGAACAAUUCAACAGCAUCUUUAACCUUAUUUUCAGCAAAGAUUCCCCUUAUUAGAGUUGUAAAGGUAACACUAUUAAACGGAAUGCCAUUCUUCAAGUAAAUAGGUAACACCGAAAAUCCAAAAUCAGCACGAUGCAUCAGGCAAUAACUAUUAAUCACACUAGUCAAGAUGAACCCAUUAAUUGGAAUGCCCAAUUUCCACAUUUGUCGGAAAAGAGAAAGGACAGGUGAGUAAUGCUUCAUACUUAUCAUAGUCUUAAACAAUUUAGAGAAAUCGACAACUGAAGGAAGAGGCUUCAUUCUAACCAUUUGAUGGAAGAGAGUAACAGCAUCAUCUAAAUUGCCACUAUUUACACCAAGUUUAUCCUUUACUGAAAUUGAUUUGUUACUGUAAUGGCAUGAAGAACAAGCUCUAAAUGUAAAUGCCGAACCAGAGAUGGAAGAGAUAAAGGGAAUACCAUUGCAACUCCGCAGAGAAAUUCUCUUCAUCUUUUUCAAUGGCUGUAUCUCCGUGUGCCCUAAUUUUGCAAGAAACUUAUAUACAGCUUCUUCUUUGGAGUUUGGAUUUUUCUUUUGGUUUGUCGCUCCGGUGCUACUCAUAUUAGAGCCCAAUUAAAUUUAAAUUAACAAUGCAAUCGGUAAUAACUAUCCAAACAAAUGAACAAGGUAGUAUCAUUACCUUGUUAAUUUAUUUUUUUCAUUUUAUCUUCGGGUUAUUAUUUAAUAAUUUUAUUUUAUAUUAUUAUUUUUUUCUAAUAAUUCUAUGGUCGAACCUAUAUUUAUUUAUAGUGUUAUAAAUUUAUUCUUUAGAUUAUUGAUGUGUGAAAUUAUAUAACAACAUGCUCGAUACAUUUCAUUCAAAUAUUAUAUUAAUCAAAACAAUACAAUACAUUAUUUAACAAUAUAUAACAAUCAUCUAAACAAGUUGCAACUAAUACACUAUGAAGGGUUAUUUGCUUACUCGUUAAGAAGUAAGUUAUUUAUGUAUUAAAAGUAAUAUAACUAAUAACAUGCUUAGUAGUAUUUUAGUUGUUAUGCAUAAAAUUAAAUACAUUAAUUGAUUACCAAUUUACAGUCUCACAAAUUAAUACACGUAUAAAUGUAUAAACUAGGUGAGAUCUAUUUACUCCCCCUUGUCCCUAUUUACUUGUCAAUUUUUGACUUAACACACCUAUUAAAAAAAAAAUUGACAUAGUGAGUUUACUAUUUUACCCUAUUAAUUGAUAGAAUUUCAAAAUCAUUUUACUCAUUAAAGGGGUUCUACCUUUUUCAAAAACAUUAACUCUCUAAAUAGAUUGAGCAUAUAUAAGUAAAAAAAAACAUUAUUUUUUCUUGAUUUGUCAAAAAUAACAAGUAAAAAGGGACAAAUAAAGAAUCAAAAUUGAAUAAGUAAAAAGGUUAUAUAGGGGGGAAAUGAAACGAAGUAUACUACAUGAAUAAUUAAGGCUUCAUCUAAGUAAAUAACUCAUACUUAAAAUAUAUAUUUUAAGAGUUAAUAUCUUAAAAGGUCAUUGAACUAUAAGAAUUUAUCUUAUGAAGUCACUGAACUUCGUUUUAUAUCAAUAAAAUUACUCAACUUAAGAUUUAUAUAAUAUAAUAACCUAACGAGAAAUCCCUAGAUUUGGUGAAUCGAUAUCUAAUAUCAAUUUGUAGGCAUGUUAUGCAAGUUGAGUUAAUAUCUUAAAAGGUUUAUAUCUUCAAAAAUCACUCAAUUAUAUUUAUCAAUAAAAUAAAUUUGACAUGACAAAAGAAAUUAUUUUUCUUAUUUCAUGUAAACAUGAACUCCACAAAUAAACAAAAUAAUUAACAUAGUUAUUUUUAUCAUUACCUCUAAUUUCACACACUGUGACGCACUCCACAAAUAAACAAAAUAAUUAACAUAGUUAUUUUAUCAUUACCUCUAAUUUCACAAACUGUGACAAGCUAAAAUUAACCUCAUUCGCAAUAAUUGAUUUUGGGUUUGAUUAGUUCCAAGAAUUGGCAGCAAUUCAAUGAAGAACUAGAAUCCAGUGAUGAUGACCCUCCAUUGGAGUUAAUCAAGAAAGCUUCGGAAGAUGAAAUGGCAGUGGUGUUAAUUGGACUACUGCUAUCUUCGGUCAAGAUCCACUGAAGUCACUAUCUGAUUACCCAUCUUUGAAAUGAAUAAAAAUAAUUGAGGGAUUCAUAAUAAUUCCAUUUCCACCAUUAGAGCGUCAGCUAUCAAAGUUGAGCUCUGUAUUUGUAAUAAUUUGUGUAUAUAAAAAUGUUAUUCCUUAAGAAUUGGGUUCUAUUUUCAACUUGUAGGUUUUAACUUGCUUAUCACUUAUAUUAAAUUGAUAAUAACUUAUUGUCUUCCCUAUUGCCCAGUGCUCACAGGCCACAAACCUCUAGAAAUUUUCACAUUUUUCAAAAAAAUAUUGUAUAUUUAAUUUGUGGGUUAUAUAUUUAUAUGACAUAUAAAAUAAUUUAUUUGUAGUUGAAUGAUUUUUGAAGAUAAAAGUUUAAAGUUGAGUGAUUUUCUUGAUACAAAACAAAGUUCAAAGACUUUACUAGAUAAAUUGUCAUAGUUCAAUGAUCUUUUAAGAUAUUAACUCUAUAUUUUAAUUAUGUGGGAUGAUAAAAUAAUAACUACACACAAUAAUCAAUUUGGCCGUACUUUUACAAUUAAUUUAUUUGGAAAAAUGUUAUUUUUAAAAGUGGUUUUAAAAAAAUACUUAUGAUGAAAAACAACAUGUGUUUGGGUAAUAAAUUAAAAAAAACACUUUCGAAACAAUUAGUGUUUAAUCAAAAAAUUUAAAAAUGCUUCUAAGCCAGUGCUCACAGGCCACAAACCUCUAGAAAUUUUCACAUUUUUCAAAAAAAUAUUGUAUAUUUAAUUUGUGGGUUAUAUAUUUAUAUGACAUAUAAAAUAAUUUAUUUGUAGUUGAAUGAUUUUUGAAGAUAAAAGUUUAAAGUUGAGUGAUUUUCUUGAUACAAAACAAAGUUCAAAGACUUUACUAGAUAAAUUGUCAUAGUUCAAUGAUCUUUUAAGAUAUUAACUCUAUAUUUUAAUUAUGUGGGAUGAUAAAAUAAUAACUACACACAAUAAUCAAUUUGGCCGUACUUUUACAAUUAAUUUAUUUGGAAAAAUGUUAUUUUUAAAAGUGGUUUUAAAAAAAUACUUAUGAUGAAAAACAACAUGUGUUUGGGUAAUAAAUUAAAAAAAACACUUUCGAAACAAUUAGUGUUUAAUCAAAAAAUUUAAAAAUGCUUCUAAGUAUAUUUUUCUCAAAGGUAUUUUUCAAAAAAAAAAAAGUGUUUAUAAAGAAAAAAAAACUACCUUUUUGGCUCAUGGAACUCUCAAAGAUUUAGCCAGCCAUUUCUUUUAAAAAAUAAUAAUAAUAAACAUUUUUCGACCUCCUAAAAACUUAUCCAAACAAACUACUAGUGUGCUAAAUUUUAGAUAAAGCCACUAAAAUCCUAAAUAUGAUAUUGAAAUACUAAAUUUUUAAUGCAUGAAUAAUUCUCUUUCUAACUAGUAUUCAAACAACCCCUUAUAUUUUAAAAAUUAAAUUCUUGUCAUUUUAUAAUAUUGAAAUUCCACAAAAAUAUAAAAGUAGAAUUUUCUAUACCCUCCAAAAUCGAACACCAUAAUCCCUUAAAAUGGUCGUGUAAGUAAAUAGAUUUUAAAAAUAUGAGGUAGAGGAAUGAAAAACAAACCAAAUUCAAAGUGCAAGAAAGCAAUUACUUGUAAUUACUUGUGCUAUGUCAAUAAUGCAUGCAAUUGAAUCAUAUCAAUAAAAAUAUUUAUUGCAAUUACUUCAUUUUUUAUUUAUCAACUAUCCUUUUUGAUAACCCAUGAUAUUUGAACCAACUAUCGCAUACUUGUUUCCUCCCCGCAAUAAAUACUAGAUAUUUUUAUUUGUAAAAACUAAAAUAGUGGAAAGAAAUCACAUAAUACUUUCGUGCAAGAUAUCCCCAAAAAUUUGAUAAAAGCCUAAGCAUCUACCUAAUUCUAUCACCUUCAUAAUUCCCUAUGCUAUAUAGUAUUACACCGACGACAUUAUCUCAAGAGAAUUAGAAAUUGACUAUAGAAAAUUCAUAUAGUCUGAAACAGACAUAGAUGAUUGACACUUCCUUUUUAUAAGGAUGGUAUCUAAACCACCUCGACUAUUUCACUAGAUGCUUGCUAUCUCCCACCAUCACAAAUACUAGACGAAGAAAAUUACUAACUGUUAUCUUUGUUGGAAUCUGAACUAUGAUUUCCCCUUGUUUUCACAAAGCAGGUAUUCAAACACCUUCAAAAUCUCUAAACACUACAUUAAAUUUAACCAUAGAAUUAUUAAGCAUAUAGCAUCCAGUAAAAUCAGAAUGGUAGAUCUCUUUAUCAAAAUAAAGUCAACUCUACAAUUCUAAACUGUCUAAAAGAAUUUUCCGAAAUUGCAAAAAUCAACUAUUAGUGACUAGUUGCACCAGUUGAUGAAAUGUAUGUUCCAGAACCAAUGUCGCUCGAUAAAAAUACAAAACUGAUGUUUCGAUUCUUUUAUCGCUGAGAAAAAGCAUCACUUGUUAAGAUGCUUUCAAUUUUAAUCUUGUGCUCAUAUGCUAAUACCUAAUCCCUGUUUAAGCUGCCUCCUCUAUUCUCCAACUGUGAGUCCAAAACCGAACUUGUAGUCUUUCUUUUUGUGAUCGACCUGAACAAGCGAUAAGGAACACAGUUAGGACACCAAUGAAAGUCAUUCUACCAAACUGUGAGAUUGGAUUCCAACAAGUAUAAGCAUGAAGGAGGGAAAUAGAUAAGAGGGGUGUGCCCCUAAUAUAAGAGUUUCAAUCCAUGCACUAGCUGCCUUAAGAAAUUUCACGGUUAUCCGAAGGAAAAGAAAACAAGAAUAGG
RNAcentral lists this long non-coding RNA (14496 nucleotides) under Solanum tuberosum (potato). RNAcentral describes it as "long non-coding RNA (STUB_LNC006075)". The record is from RNAcentral. Lineage: Eukaryota; Viridiplantae; Streptophyta; Magnoliopsida; Solanales; Solanaceae.